Molecule: ribosomal RNA, 301 nt
Filed under: uncultured bacterium
Lineage: Bacteria
Description: partial 16S ribosomal RNA
Rfam family: Bacterial small subunit ribosomal RNA
Source: RNAcentral
CAGCCGCCACGGGAAUACGUAGGGUGCAAGCGUUAAUCGGAAUUACUGGGCGUAAAGCGUGCGCAGGCGGUUUGUUAAGACAGAUGUGAAAUCCCCGGGCUCAACCUGGGAACUGCAUUUGUGACUGGCAAGCUAGAGUGUGGCAGAGGGGGGUGGAAUUCCGCGUGUAGCAGUGAAAUGCGUAGAUAUGCGGAGGAACACCAGUGGCGAAGGCGGCUCACUGGUCCAUUACUGACGCUGAGGUGCGAAAGCGUGGGGAGCAAACAGGAUUAGAUACCCCCGUAGUCCCUGUCUCUUAUAC